Molecule: ribosomal RNA, 535 nt
Filed under: uncultured bacterium
Lineage: Bacteria
Description: partial 16S ribosomal RNA
Rfam family: Bacterial small subunit ribosomal RNA
Source: RNAcentral
UGGGGAAUAUUGGACAAUGGGCGCAAGCCUGAUCCAGCCAUGCCGCGUGAGUGAUGAAGGCCUUAGGGUUGUAAAGCUCUUUCGGCGGGGACGAUAAUGACGGUACCCGCAGAAGAAGCCCCGGCUAACUUCGUGCCAGCAGCCGCGGUAAUACGAAGGGGGCUAGCGUUGUUCGGAAUCACUGGGCGUAAAGGGCGCGUAGGCGGCUUUGUAAGUCGGGGGUGAAAGCCUGUGGCUCAACCACAGAAUUGCCUUCGAUACUGCAUGGCUUGAGACCGGAAGAGGUAAGUGGAACUGCGAGUGUAGAGGUGAAAUUCGUAGAUAUUCGCAAGAACACCAGUGGCGAAGGCGGCUUACUGGUCCGGUUCUGACGCUGAGGCGCGAAAAGCGUGGGGAGCAAAACAGGAUUAGAUACCCUGGUAGUCCACGCCGUAAAACGAUGAAUGCCAGCCGUUGGGCAGCUUGCUGCUCAGUGGCGCAGCUAACGCUUUUAAAGCAUUCCGCCUGGGGAGUACGGUCGCAAGAUUAAAAACUU